This is a long non-coding RNA of Aquila chrysaetos chrysaetos, 2316 nucleotides long. RefSeq lists it as uncharacterized. The record is from RefSeq and is a predicted model, not a curated record. Lineage: Eukaryota; Metazoa; Chordata; Aves; Accipitriformes; Accipitridae. The transcript is spliced from 8 exons.
GCCCUGGAAGCUGGUUUCCACCAGGAGGUGCCACUGCGCAUUACCCAUAGAUUCAGCGGCUGGCUCUGCUCCACAUCACGCAUUAGAGGGACUGUGAAAGAAGAACGGGCAGAGUGAAAUUCCUCCCAAGGCGUUUUUAUUCAGCCAUCCUCAAAUUCCCAUCUCCUGCCUGCCAAGAAGUGCAUCCUUUCCCUGUGCAGACUGGAAUACGCUUUUUAUAGUGGGACCAAGACCAGCCCGGAAGGAGCAGAGUGGCUGCUGAUGCUCUACUCUCUAAUUAGGCCCACUCCAGCUUUGUGGAGGAGGCGAGAGCCUGCAUAUGCAAAACAUGUACACAACAAAUGUGCGUCUGCUGUACUGUCAUGUUCCAGUCCAGAAAGACAGCGUUCACCUGCACACCUCUGUGUUCUUUGUGGAGCUCCUAGGAUAUAAAAGCGACUCUCUAUGCCAGGGCAAACAACUGACAUAGAGAUGAAGACAGUGUCAUUGUGGAUGGUGCAGGCCGUGGAAGAUGAAAGAUGACAGUGAAGGGCCUAACCCGUGGCUGUUGGCGCUGAUGCACAGAGCUGGGAGCCAUAGCAAAGUCUCCAGGAGGACAGGGAGGUCACGCAAUACAACAAACCGUAAUGGAGCCAGGUGCCAGAUGGGGAGAACGUCCAUAAACCAGAAGAAGAAGAACUUCAAACAAAUGAAGAGGGUUUGGCAAUUUUUGAGCUCGCAGAAGACCAGCAGCAGGCAGAGGCUGCGUAACACAGGUGAUUCCAUCUCAUCAGUGUAAGGAAAAGCAUUUUUAGAGACUGCACAGAAAGGCACCCAGAAGACAAUAAAGUAAAAACAUCUGGGGCAAUGUAAAAGGUGCGUAGAAUAGACAAAGAGACUGCAAGGUCACAGAUCACCUAGCGGGACAUGGGGAGAUUUCCCCGCUGGGCCAGCGCUCCAGGCCACAUCAGCUUUCCAGGCUCUCCAUACAUGACAAAGCCAUGAGGCUUCCUGACACCACUCCUUCUCCAUUGCCACCUUUGUUCUCUACUGAAGGAUCCAACACUUCCAAAGAAAAGCACUGCUUCACAGGACAGCUGACAGUGAUGGGGGAAGAGGUUCAAGCAAAUAUAAAUAAGUAGGUCUGUCUUGUCUAAAUAAGGUAGGACAAACUGUCACCAAUUCCUUGGGGGUGGUACUGCUGACAGCAGGGAAUGGCAAUGCCAAUGCUCACAGGACACCUGGGUACUGAACCUGUCACCUCUAACAAGGUUCAUAAAAAAUGGCAUUUUUAAGACUGACUUUCCCAAGACAUACAGAAAGGAGCUCCCAGUUCUUCAGGUGAUAACACUAGUGACUGAAUAAGUGCAAAUGUACACUCCUUAAAAAGUGAGCAUGUCCUUCCUUUCUAUGGGUAUAGUUACAUGUCUAGCAAGCCCAGCUGUAGCCCUGGUUACAUUAGAAGACCUCUCACUGACCUCUAGGAACCCCCAUGUUAGGCUCUGGGUUGGAGUAAAAAAUCUCACUGCGAUUCUUACCAACACCAUUUAUGUAAGAGACAUUGAAACUAGCAGGACAGCUCCAGCCCCAGUCUGAUUACCAGCUUAUUUAAUUGUAUGUUUCAAGCACACAGCAAUAAGCUCUAGUGGGACUAGUUAACAGGCCUUGAAUCUGGUCAGGUGAGACAGCACAUGGUAGCAAGCAAAUACAACAGUAAAUGAGACCAGAACUACCUAAAGCUUAAAUGCACUGAAAGGAAAAACUGAAAGGUACACAUAGCUUCCAACACUCACAAGUAGUUUAGGUUAAGGCUUGCAGAAGACACUGUGAUGACAAAAUUCAAUUUAGGCAAGUCUAACCGAACGUUAGUGUUAGAGGACCCGAUAACUAAAAUGAUCUAGAUCAUUUUAUAAAACCGCUACCAUAAAGUCUAGAUUUAAAUUAAUUUUUUUCUUUUAACAGAUUACAGGCACCAUGCUUAAAAGACUCCCAUUGCAUUGUGCCUGAAGGAGAACCCUAGUCACAAACAGACUCUUCAAAAGAUAAAAAAUACCAGCCUAUAUCCAUGCACACAGAGGGAGCAGGGUACUUAAAUUUUUCAGCUAUUUGUAAAAAAUCCCAUCUUGUGACUGUAAUAUCUGUAAGGAUUGUAGCAUACCACUUCAACUUUGUACCAAGUCCCAACACCGAAAGCUUGGGCAUAACAUUACGCUAAUUAUUAUCAGUUCCACUGCUAAUUUUAAAUGUCACAUAUCACUCAAUCACGUUUGACACAAGAGAUCCAGCACCCCCUUAGCAAAGCAAAUAACCUUCACUUCCCCUCUUAGCACUGAAAAA